UUCCAGACUCCUACGGGAGGCAGCAGUGGGGAAUAUUGCACAAUGGGGGGAACCCUGAUGCAGCGACGCCGCGUGAGCGAAGAAGUAUCUCGGUAUGUAAAGCUCUAUCAGCAGGGAAGAAAAUGACGGUACCUGACUAAGAAGCUCCGGCUAAAUACGUGCCAGCAGCCGCGGUAAUACGUAUGGAGCAAGCGUUAUCCGGAUUUACUGGGUGUAAAGGGAGCGCAGGCGGCGCGCCAAGUCUGGUGUGAAACCCCGGGGCUCAACCCCGGGACUGCAUUGGAAACUGGCGUGCUGGAGUGUCGGAGGGGCAGGCGGAAUUCCUGGUGUAGCGGUGAAAUGCGUAGAUAUCAGGAGGAACACCGGCGGCGAAGGCGGCCUGCUGGACCGCGACUGACGUUGAGGCUCGAAAGCGUGGGGAGCGAACAGGAUUAGAUACCCCGGUA
Molecule: ribosomal RNA, 446 nt
Filed under: uncultured bacterium
Lineage: Bacteria
Description: bacterial SSU rRNA
Rfam family: Bacterial small subunit ribosomal RNA
Source: RNAcentral